RNAcentral lists this ribosomal RNA (118 nucleotides) under Nitrososphaerota archaeon. Lineage: Archaea; Thermoproteati; Nitrososphaerota. RNAcentral also lists the same sequence under 2 other names. The record is from RNAcentral.
CUUGCCGGCCAUAGAUGGGGGGAAACGCCCGGACCCAUUCCGAACCCGGAAGCUAAGCCCCCAUCGCGUGGAAGUAGUCUGGUGCGAGAGCCCAGGCGAGAGCCACGUGCUGGCAAGC